AUGCACGCUGGCGGCGUGCCUAAUCCCUGCAAGUCGCGCGAACAGACGAGGAGCUUGCUCCUCUGACGUUCGCGGCGGACGGGUGAGUAACACGUGGAUAACCUACCUAUAAGACUGGGAUAACUUCGGGAAACCGGAGCUAAUACCGGAUAAUAUAUUGAACCGCAUGGUUCAAUAGUGAAAGACGGUUUUGCUGUCACUUAUAGAUGGAUCCGCGCCGCAGUAGCUAGUUGGUAAGGUAACGGCUUACCAAGGCAACGAUGCGUAGCCGACCUGAGAGGGUGAUCGGCCACACUGGAACUGAGACACGGUCCAGACUCCUACGGGAGGCAGCAGUAGGGAAUCUUCCGCAAUGGGCGAAAGCCUGACGGAGCAACGCCGCGUGAGUGAUGAAGGUCUUCGGAUCGUAAAACUCUGUUAUUAGGGAAGAACAAAUGUGUAAGUAACUAUGCACGUCUUGACGGUACCUAAUCAGAAAGCCACGGCUAACUACGUG
RNAcentral lists this ribosomal RNA (496 nucleotides) under uncultured bacterium. Its description in RNAcentral is "partial 16S ribosomal RNA". It matches the Rfam family "Bacterial small subunit ribosomal RNA", at positions 29 to 507 of the family's 1533-position model. The record is from RNAcentral.